Molecule: long non-coding RNA, 941 nt
Organism: Thunnus maccoyii (southern bluefin tuna)
Lineage: Eukaryota; Metazoa; Chordata; Actinopteri; Scombriformes; Scombridae
Exons: 2
Source: RefSeq, a predicted model, not a curated record
UAAUAAGCCGAUGUGUGUGUGUGUGCGCUGCCCCUCGGCCCGUCAACCUCCAUGAGAAAACGAGGCUUUUUUUUUAGUCGUCAAAGGGGGCCGUCUGCUACAUUCGUUAGCUUCGUUAGCUCGCAUGUGAUUAGAGCGAAAUGUCCCUACUAUUUAGCAUCAAGAGAAGGAAAGGGGUGAAUGCAGAGCAGGUGGAAUGCAAAUACAGGCCUUUUCACCCAGCCACGCUGAGAAUUGUCUCCAUACAAAGAAGCAUUGUCAGAAGUCCUGCCCUUAGUCCUUGACAAGCUCUCAUCCCGCCUGAUGGAACACGAGGUGUCUGUGUCGAGAUCUCGUUACGGGAGUUAUGAUCUAUUCAUAACAGCCUCCGCUCUGAUGUGCUUCUCAGGUAGAGUUCUGCUGGUGGUGACAGAAAAGUGGGCUGCUGCCUUUGAGCAGAAGUAACCAUAUAUUAAGCCCUGAGGGAGAUGCUCGAGUGUCGCCCCACCACAGAAGUAGAUACUGUAUUAAGAUACGUCUUCGAAGAGAAGAUUACUAAUCGCUCUUGGGUAUAGGUUCUUUAUUUACUGGGACUUCUUCCAUGUUCCAGGUGAAUUCAGACCAUAAUGACUUCAGUUGCUCUACAACAGGGAGUCUACGAACAUCAAACCUGUUUCAGUCACUUUUUUUUAGUCAUCUGACAGACGUCUGCAUAUAUCUUCCAAACGGCUCAUGCUUCAUUCAUGUAUAAUGUGUGUAGCUGUAACCCGAAGCAUCUUUUUUUAUUUCUUUUCACUUGUGUGUGUAACUACAUGACUGAGUGUUUGGCAGUGAUGUCAAAAGGCUUUUGAGUGAAACCGAUGUAUAUAACUAUAUGUGUUGCUUGCCAAGUUUUCCUAUAAAAGUUGGAUGAUAUGAUUGAAAUCAAUAUCACUAUGAUAAAAAAAGGUUAUUUUCCAGUA